GGCGCACGGGUGCGGAACACGUGUGCAACCUGCCUUUAUCUGGGGGAUAGCCUUUCGAAAGGAAGAUUAAUACCCCAUAAUAUAUUGAGUGGCAUCACUUGAUAUUGAAAACUCCGGUGGAUAGAGAUGGGCACGCGCAAGAUUAGAUAGUUGGUGAGGUAACGGCUCACCAAGUCAAUGAUCUUUAGGGGGCCUGAGAGGGUGAUCCCCCACACUGGUACUGAGACACGGACCAGACUCCUACGGGAGGCAGCAGUGAGGAAUAUUGGACAAUGGGUGAGAGCCUGAUCCAGCCAUCCCGCGUGAAGGACGACUGCCCUAUGGGUUGUAAACUUCUUUUAUACUGGGAUAAACCUACCCUUCGUGAGGGUAGCUGAAGGUACAGUAUGAAUAAGCACCGGCUAACUCCGUGCCAGCAGCCGCGGUAAUACGGAGGGUGCAAGCGUUAUCCGGAUUUAUUGGGUUUAAAGGGUCCGUAGGCGGACUCGUAAGUCAGUGGUGAAAUCUCAUAGCUUAACUAUGAAACUGCCAUUGAUACUGCGGGUCUUGAGUAAAGUAGAAGUGGCUGGAAUAAGUAGUGUAGCGGUGAAAUGCAUAGAUAUUACUUAGAACACCAAUUGCGAAGGCAGGUCACUAUGUUUUAACUGACGCUGAUGGACGAAAGCGUGGGGAGCGAACAGGAUUAGAUACCCUGGUAGUCCACGCCGUAAACGAUGCUAACUCGUUUUUGGGUUUUCGGAUUCAGAGACUAAGCGAAAGUGAUAAGUUAGCCACCUGGGGAGUACGUUCGCAAGAAUGAAACUCAAAGGAAUUGACGGGGGCCCGCACAAGCGGUGGAUUAUGUGGUUUAAUUCGAUGAUACGCGAGGAACCUUACCAAGGCUUAAAUGGGAAUUGACAGGUUUAGAAAUAGAUCCUUCUUCGGACAAUUUUCAAGGUGCUGCAUGGUUGUCGUCAGCUCGUGCCGUGAGGUGUUAGGUUAAGUCCUGCAACGAGCGCAACCCCUGUCACUAGUUGCCAUCAUUCAGUUGGGGACUCUAGUGAGACUGCCUACGCAAGUAGAGAGGAAGGUGGGGAUGACGUCAAAUCAUCACGGCCCUUACGCCUUGGGCCACACACGUAAUACAAUGGCCGGUACAGAGGGCAGCUACUAUGCGAAUAGAUGCGAAUCUCGAAAGCCGGUCUCAGUUCGGAUUGGAGUCUGCA
This 1205-nucleotide ribosomal RNA is filed under the name Chryseobacterium aquaticum. RNAcentral's name for it is "bacterial SSU rRNA". It matches the Rfam family "Bacterial small subunit ribosomal RNA", at positions 97 to 1309 of the family's 1533-position model. The record is from RNAcentral. Lineage: Bacteria; Pseudomonadati; Bacteroidota; Flavobacteriia; Flavobacteriales; Weeksellaceae.